This 24-nucleotide non-coding RNA is filed under the name Rattus norvegicus (Norway rat). The record is from RNAcentral. Lineage: Eukaryota; Metazoa; Chordata; Mammalia; Rodentia; Muridae.
CAGAAAAAUAACAAUGGCAGGUUC